Molecule: ribosomal RNA, 520 nt
Filed under: uncultured bacterium
Lineage: Bacteria
Description: bacterial SSU rRNA
Rfam family: Bacterial small subunit ribosomal RNA
Source: RNAcentral
GGGAAUCUACCCAACCCUACGGAAUAACGCAUGGAAACGUGUGCUAAUACCGUAUACGCCCUUCGGGGGAAAGAUUUAUCGGGGAUGGAUGAGCCCGCGUUGGGUUAGCUAGUUGGUGGGGUAAAGGCCUACCAAGGCGACGAUCCAUAGCUGGUCUGAGAGGAUGAUCAGCCACAUUGGGACUGAGACACGGCCCAAACUCCUACGGGAGGCAGCAGUGGGGAAUAUUGGACAAUGGGCGCAAGCCUGAUCCAGCCAUGCCGCGUGAGUGAUGAAGGCCCUAGGGUUGUAAAGCUCUUUCACCGGUGAAGAUAAUGACGGUAACCGGAGAAGAAGCCCCGGCUAACUUCGUGCCAGCAGCCGCGGUAAUACGAAGGGGGCUAGCGUUGUUCGGAAUUACUGGGCGUAAAGCGCACGUAGGCGGAUAUUUAAGUCAGGGGUGAAAUCCCGGGGCUCAACCCCGGAACUGCCUUUGAUACUGGGUAUCUAGAGUCCAGAAGAGGUGAGUGGAAUUCCGAGU